Struthio camelus australis is the source of this 1573-nucleotide long non-coding RNA. The record is from Ensembl. NCBI's taxonomy places the organism in Eukaryota, Metazoa, Chordata, Aves, Struthioniformes, Struthionidae.
CCCCGAGACCAGCUGAGGGACGCAGAGAUGUCCGUGGGGGUGUAUAGAUGCCUCUGGGGACCCUAUAAAGCCCCUGAGGUGGCCCACAGAGCAGCUUAGGGACCCCAGAGAUGCCUAUGGAGCGGUAUAGAGAUCCCUGGGGACCCUAUAAAGCCCCUGAGGUGGCCCACAGAGCAGCUUAGGGACCCCAGAGAUGCCUAUGGAGCGGUAUAGAGAUCCCUGGGGACCCUAUGGAGCCCCCAAGUGGGCCCUGAGACCGGCUGAGAGACCUGGAGACGCCCAUGGGGGGCUAUCGAUGUCCCAUGGACCCUAUAGAGCCCCCGAGGAGACCCAUAGACCAGCAUAUGGACCCCAUAGCUGCCUGGGGGGACCUAUAGAUCUUCCUUGGGGACCCCUAGAUCAACAUAGCUAUUCUGAAGGCAUGCAUGGGGACCCAUAGAUCCCUUUUGGGGACCGGGGCCAGCCGUGGGGGGCUGACCUCCUCUGCCCCCCAUCACAGAGCGCCGCGGGAGUCUGCCCCGGCCCCCUGCAUCUGCCGGGGAUGGCUGUGGCACGUGGGUCACAUCGGAUGGGACCCCAACAGCGGCUUCAACGUACGUCACCCCAUAGGGGCUGUGACCCUCAGGCCUUAUGGGUGGAAGAACCCUGUGGGCCCCAUAGGGGGGAUGGACCCCCCCAAGCUCUAUAGGGGAGAGACCCCCUGGGCUGUAUAGGAGAAACACCUCCCUCCCAUGGGCACUAGAGCUCCCCUGCAGAGGCUAUAGGCCCCACACCCCUCUAGGUGGCAGCUAUGUGCCCCACACUGCCCCGGGGUGGGUGCUAUAGGGCCUGUACCCCCUUAGGUGGGUGCUAUAGGGGUCAUAACCCCCCAGGGCAAGUGCUAUAGGGCCUGUACCCCCCCCCGGGGCUGGCAUUAUAGAGGUCAUACCCCCUGAGCCAGGCUCUAUAGAGGUCAUACCCCCUGGGGUGGGGUUUAUAGGUUCCAUAUCCCCUGGGGUGGGUGCUAUAGGUCCCAUAUCCCCUGGGGAGGUCCUAUAGGGGUCCUAUCCCCUGGGGCAGGCACUAUAGGUCCCAUAUCCCCUGGGAAGAUCCUGUGGGGUCCCCCCCCAGGGUGGGUGCUAUAGGUCCCAUACCCUCUGGGGUGGGUGCUAUAGGUCCCAUAUCCCCUGGGGAGGUCCUAUAGGGGUCCUAUCCCCUGGGGCAGGCACUAUAGGUCCCAUAUCCCCUGGGAAGAUCCUGUGGGGUCCCCCCCCAGGGUGGGUGCUAUAGGUCCCAUACCCUCUGGGGAGGUCCUAUAGGGGUCCUAUCCCCUGGGGCAGGUGCUAUAGGUCCCAUAUCCCCUGUGGUGGGUGCUAUAGGUCCCAUAGCCCCCUGGGGAGGUCCUGUGGGGUCCCACCCCCCCAGGGUGGGUGCUAUACACCCCACGCCCCCAGGGCGGGGCGGGCAGCACGGCCCCAUACCCGCGGGGAGGGCGGCGGGUGGUGCCAGCAGCCCUACGGAGGCCGUAGGUGCCGGGCCGCAGGUGCAGGAGCUGGACCCAGACUUGCGGGCGCUGUUCGCCCCGGCCGGCAUC